RNAcentral lists this unclassified non-coding RNA (212 nucleotides) under uncultured Russulaceae. RNAcentral describes it as "sequence contains ITS1". The record is from RNAcentral. Lineage: Eukaryota; Fungi; Basidiomycota; Agaricomycetes; Russulales; Russulaceae.
UCGUACAAAAUGUGCGAGGCAUGCGAGGGCUGUCGCCGACUCAAAGUCGUGCACGCCGGAGUGUGUCCUCUCACAUAACAAUCCAUCUCACCCUUUGUGCACCACCGCGCGGGCACCCUUUGGGAUCAGAGCGAUCUCGGAGGGGGUUCACGUUUUCACACAAAAACCCCCCCUUUAAAAAGUGUAGAAUGACCUCAUUUAUGCAAUCAAUA